UAUGGAGAGUUUGAUCCUGGCUCAGAGUGAACGCUGGCGGCGUGCCUAAUACAUGCAAGUCGAACGAUGAAGCUUCUAGCUUGCUAGAGUGCUGAUUAGUGGCGCACGGGUGAGUAACGCAUAGGUCAUGUGCCUCUUAGUUUGGGAUAGCCAUUGGAAACGAUGAUUAAUACCAGAUACUCCCUACGGGGGAAAGAUUUAUCGCUAAGAGAUCAGCCUAUGUCCUAUCAGCUUGUUGGUAAGGUAAUGGCUUACCAAGGCUAUGACGGGUAUCCGGCCUGAGAGGGUGAACGGACACACUGGAACUGAGACACGGUCCAGACUCCUACGGGAGGCAGCAGUAGGGAAUAUUGCUCAAUGGGGGAAACCCUGAAGCAGCAACGCCGCGUGGAGGAUGAAGGUUUUAGGAUUGUAAACUCCUUUUGUUAGAGAAGAUAAUGACGGUAUCUAACGAAUAAGCACCGGCUAACUCCGUGCCAGCAGCCGCGGUAAUACGGAGGGUGCAAGCGUUACUCGGAAUCACUGGGCGUAAAGAGCGCGUAGGCGGGAUAGUCAGUCAGGUGUGAAAUCCUAUGGCUUAACCAUAGAACUGCAUUUGAAACUACUAUUCUAGAGUGUGGGAGAGGUAGGUGGAAUUCUUGGUGUAGGGGUAAAAUCCGUAGAGAUCAAGAGGAAUACUCAUUGCGAAGGCGACCUGCUGGAACAUUACUGACGCUGAUUGCGCGAAAGCGUGGGGAGCAAACAGGAUUAGAUACCCUGGUAGUCCACGCCCUAAACGAUGGAUGCUAGUUGUUGGAGGGCUUAGUCUUUCCAGUAAUGCAGCUAACGCAUUAAGCAUCCCGCCUGGGGAGUACGGUCGCAAGAUUAAAACUCAAAGGAAUAGACGGGGACCCGCACAAGCGGUGGAGCAUGUGGUUUAAUUCGAAGAUACACGAAGAACCUUACCUAGGCUUGACAUUGAGAGAAUCCGCUAGAAAUAGUGGAGUGUCUGGCUUGCCAGACCUUGAAAACAGGUGCUGCACGGCUGUCGUCAGCUCGUGUCGUGAGAUGUUGGGUUAAGUCCCGCAACGAGCGCAACCCCCUUUCUUAGUUGCUAACAGGUCAUGCUGAGAACUCUAAGGAUACUGCCUCCGUAAGGAGGAGGAAGGUGGGGACGACGUCAAGUCAUCAUGGCCCUUACGCCUAGGGCUACACACGUGCUACAAUGGGGUGCACAAAGAGAAGCAAUACUGCGAAGUGGAGCCAAUCUUCAAAACACCUCUCAGUUCGGAUUGUAGGCUGCAACUCGCCUGCAUGAAGCUGGAAUCGCUAGUAAUCGCAAAUCAGCCAUGUUGCGGUGAAUACGUUCCCGGGUCUUGUACUCACCGCCCGUCACACCAUGGGAGUUGUGUUUGCCUUAAGUCAGGAUGCUAAAUUGGCUACUGCCCACGGCACACACAGCGACUGGGGUGAAGUCGUAACAAGGUAACCGUAGGUGAACCUGCGGUUGGAUCACCUCCUU
Molecule: ribosomal RNA, 1501 nt
Filed under: Helicobacter pylori
Lineage: Bacteria; Pseudomonadati; Campylobacterota; Epsilonproteobacteria; Campylobacterales; Helicobacteraceae
Description: bacterial SSU rRNA
Rfam family: Bacterial small subunit ribosomal RNA
Source: RNAcentral